CCCCGCUGGAGUGGUCAGCGUAGUGACAUUCCCUCCAGAACAGAGAGGCUCUGACAGGUUUUUGGAUUCUGUGCAGUUUUGCAAGUUGGAGUUAUCAAAGCUGAGCAUUGCGCUUGCCAGAGCGCUUGUCCUCCUCCAGGGGCUGAGCGCAAUCGGAAGGUGGCGCAGCUCAACGGCCAGACACCGCUUAAGACUCAGCCCUGCCUCAAACCUCCCGUGCGGGGAUGGAAACACUGCUAAUGCCCAGUCCUUGACCAUUUCACCCUUCGUACGGGCAGGUGGGAACAUCCACUGA
This 295-nucleotide long non-coding RNA is filed under the name Struthio camelus australis. Its description in RNAcentral is "lncRNA (ENSSCUG00000008646.1)". The record is from RNAcentral. Lineage: Eukaryota; Metazoa; Chordata; Aves; Struthioniformes; Struthionidae.